UCUUGCCACUGUGCGAGGCAGUGGCUCUCAACGGAGAUGUAAUCUGCGCAUCGUGRGACAAGAACGCAACAAUUCUGCCGGGUUGUAAUGCAACAUACCAACUAUUUUGACUUGGUCUUAGAAAUGCUUUCCAGUGUCAGCUGAAAUUAGUGUUCCCUGUGACCGAAGUCAAUGAAACUUUUUGUGUGAGGAAAAUAGGGUAGGAAGCGGUCUACCUCAGAGAUGUGCAAGUGCUUUUUUCGUAGACGUAACAAAGGUCCAUCUCGCAGGUGGCAGGUGACCCCAUAACUCCGCUGACAGUGGAAUGAUCGAGCUGCACUCCCCCAAGGAAGACAAAGGCAGCGACUGUCC
This 351-nucleotide long non-coding RNA is filed under the name Dromaius novaehollandiae (emu). RNAcentral's name for it is "lncRNA (ENSDNVG00000016329.1)". Lineage: Eukaryota; Metazoa; Chordata; Aves; Casuariiformes; Dromaiidae. The record is from RNAcentral.